RNAcentral lists this ribosomal RNA (466 nucleotides) under uncultured bacterium. RNAcentral's name for it is "partial 16S ribosomal RNA". It matches the Rfam family "Bacterial small subunit ribosomal RNA", at positions 28 to 507 of the family's 1533-position model. The record is from RNAcentral.
GAUGAACGCUGGCGGCGUGCUUAACACAUGCAAGUCGAACGAUGAAGCCCAGCUUGCUGGGUGGAUUAGUGGCGAACGGGUGAGUAACACGUGAGUAACCUGCCCUUAACUCUGGGAUAAGCCUGGGAAACUGGGUCUAAUACCGGAUAGGAGCGCCUACCGCAUGGUGGGUGUUGGAAAGAUUUAUCGGUUUUGGAUGGACUCGCGGCCUAUCAGCUUGUUGGUGAGGUAAUGGCUCACCAAGGCGACGACGGGUAGCCGGCCUGAGAGGGUGACCGGCCACACUGGGACUGAGACACGGCCCAGACUCCUACGGGAGGCAGCAGUGGGGAAUAUUGCACAAUGGGCGAAAGCCUGAUGCAGCGACGCCGCGUGAGGGAUGACGGCCUUCGGGUUGUAAACCUCUUUCAGUAGGGAAGAAGCGAAAGUGACGGUACCUGCAGGAGAAGCACCGGCUAACUACGUG